This 395-nucleotide ribosomal RNA is filed under the name Shigella flexneri. RNAcentral's name for it is "bacterial SSU rRNA". It matches the Rfam family "Bacterial small subunit ribosomal RNA", at positions 882 to 1277 of the family's 1533-position model. The record is from RNAcentral. Lineage: Bacteria; Pseudomonadati; Pseudomonadota; Gammaproteobacteria; Enterobacterales; Enterobacteriaceae.
ACGGCCGCAAGGUUAAAACUCAAAUGAAUUGACGGGGGCCCGCACAAGCGGUGGAGCAUGUGGUUUAAUUCGAUGCAACGCGAAGAACCUUACCUGGUCUUGACAUCCACGGAAGUUUUCAGAGAUGAGAAUGUGCCUUCGGGAACCGUGAGACAGGUGCUGCAUGGCUGUCGUCAGCUCGUGUUGUGAAAUGUUGGGUUAAGUCCCGCAACGAGCGCAACCCUUAUCCUUUGUUGCCAGCGGUCCGGCCGGGAACUCAAAGGAGACUGCCAGUGAUAAACUGGAGGAAGGUGGGGAUGACGUCAAGUCAUCAUGGCCCUUACGACCAGGGCUACACACGUGCUACAAUGGCGCAUACAAAGAGAAGCGACCUCGCGAGAGCAAGCGGACCUCAU